AAUUCGGAUUAACACCGCAUAAAAUCACAGUCUAGCAUUAGACAAUGAUCAAAUAUUUAUAGGAUUAAGAUGGGCAUGCGUGUCAUUAGCUAGUUGGCGGGGUAACGGCCCACCAAGGCGACGAUGACUAGGGGAUCUGAGAGGAUGGCCCCCCACACUGGUACUGAGACACGGACCAGACUCCUACGGGAGGCAGCAGUAAGGAAUAUUGGUCAAUGGAGGGAACUCUGAACCAGCCAUGCCGCGUGCAGGAUGACUGCCCUCUGGGUUGUAAACUGCUUUUAUUCGGGAAUAAACCUACUUACGUGUAAGUAGCUGAAUGUACCGAAGGAAUAAGGAUCGGCUAACUCCGUGCCAGCAGCCGCGGUAAUACGGAGGAUCCGAGCGUUAUCCGGAUUUAUUGGGUUUAAAGGGUGCGUAGGCGGCUUAUUAAGUCAGGGGUGAAAGACGGUGGCUCAACCAUCGCAGUGCCUUUGAUACUGAUGAGCUUGAAUGGACUAGAGGUAGGCGGAAUGUGACAAGUAGCGGUGAAAUGCAUAGAUAUGUCACAGAACACCGAUUGCGAAGGCAGCUUACUAUGGUUUAAUUGACGCUGAUGCACGAAAGCGUGGGGAUCAAACAGGAUUAGAUACCCUGGUAGUCCACGCCCUAAACGAUGAAUACUCGCUGUUAGCGAUAUACAGUUAGCGGCUAAGCGAAAGCGUUAAGUAUUCCACCUGGGGAGUACGCCCGCAAGGGUGAAACUCAAAGGAAUUGACGGGGGCCCGCACAAGCGGAGGAGCAUGUGGUUUAAUUCGAUGAUACGCGAGGAACCUUACCCGGGCUUGAAAGUUACUGAAUAAACCAGAGAUGGUUUAGUCCUUCGGGACAGGAAACUAGGUGCUGCAUGGCUGUCGUCAGCUCGUGCCGUGAGGUGUUGGGUUAAGUCCCGCAACGAGCGCAACCCCUAUGUUUAGUUGCCAGCAUGUAAAGGUGGGGACUCUAAACAGACUGCCUGUGCAAACAGAGAGGAAGGAGGGGACGACGUCAAGUCAUCAUGGCCCUUACGUCCGGGGCUACACACGUGCUACAAUGGAUGGUACAGAGGGCAGCUAGCUUGCAAAAGCAUGCGAAUCUCAAAAAGCCAUUCACAGUUCGGAUAGAGGUCUGCAACUCGACCUCUUGAAGUUGGAUUCGCUAGUAAUCGCGUAG
RNAcentral lists this ribosomal RNA (1191 nucleotides) under Pedobacter sp. Its description in RNAcentral is "bacterial SSU rRNA". It matches the Rfam family "Bacterial small subunit ribosomal RNA", at positions 155 to 1349 of the family's 1533-position model. The record is from RNAcentral. Lineage: Bacteria; Pseudomonadati; Bacteroidota; Sphingobacteriia; Sphingobacteriales; Sphingobacteriaceae.